This 251-nucleotide ribosomal RNA is filed under the name uncultured bacterium. RNAcentral describes it as "partial 16S ribosomal RNA". It matches the Rfam family "Bacterial small subunit ribosomal RNA", at positions 524 to 775 of the family's 1533-position model. The record is from RNAcentral.
GACAGAGGAUGCAAGCGUUAUCCGGAAUGAUUGGGCGUAAAGCGUCUGUAGGUGCUUUUAAGUCUGCCGUCAAAUCCCAGGCUUAACCCUGGACAGGCGGUGGAACUACCAAGCUGGAGUACGGUAGGGGCAGAGGGAAUUUCCGGUGGAGCGGGUGAAAGUGCGUAGAGAUCGGAAAGAACACCAACGGCGAAAGCAACUCUGCUGGGCCGACACUGACACUGAGAGACGAAAGCUAGGGGAGCGAAUGG